RNAcentral lists this ribosomal RNA (775 nucleotides) under uncultured Neocallimastigales. RNAcentral describes it as "partial large subunit ribosomal RNA". It matches the Rfam family "Eukaryotic large subunit ribosomal RNA", at positions 26 to 637 of the family's 3401-position model. Lineage: Eukaryota; Fungi; Neocallimastigomycota; Neocallimastigomycetes; Neocallimastigales. The record is from RNAcentral.
CGCAUCUGUGCAUGCAGCAUAUCAAUAAGCGGAGGAAAAGAAACUAACAAGGAUUCCCCUAGUAACGGCGAGUGAAGCGGGAAGAGCUCAAAUUUGAAAUCUUAAAGGGUUUCCCUUUACGAAUUGUAGUUUAAAGAAGUGUUUUCUGUUGAGGUUUUGGUAAAAGUUCUUUGGAAUAGGACAUCAUAGAGGGUGAGAAUCCCGUAUUUGACCUUUACUUUCAACUUUGUGAUACACUUUCAAAGAGUCGGAUUGUUUGGGAAUGCAGUCCAAAAUGGGUGGUAAAUUUCAUCUAAAGCUAAAUAUUGGCGAGAGACCGAUAGCGAACAAGUACCGUGAGGGAAAGAUGAAAAGAACUUUGAAAAGAGAGUUAAACAGUACGUGAAAUUGUCAAAAGGGAAGCGUUUGACACCAGUGUUGUUUUUCUGAAAAUCAAUUAAAGAACUGUUUAUGCUAAGUUGUUUAGACUUUAUCAGCUAACUGUUUAGUUUUGAGCUUUUCUUUAAUGCACUUUUCAGUUAACAAGUCAACAUUCAAUUUCUUUUGCUGUAAAAAAGCUUGAGGAAGGUGGCUUGAGAUUCGUCUUAAGUGUUUAUAGCCUCUUGCCUAUGCAGUCGGAGAGAUUGAGGUCUGCAGCGUAGAUCCUUCGGGGCUAAAUGCAUUUGUGCUAAGUUAUAGCAUUUUAUAGACAACUUGUUGACUAUGAUUUGUCUUGUAGCUUACUCGCUUAUGUUAUUUUACCUACGCUUAGGAUGUUGACAGCAGUAUAGACUGU